GAUGAAGAACGCAGCGAAAUGCGAUAAGUGAUGUGAAUUGCAGAAUUCAGUGAAUCAUCGAAUCUUUGAACGCACAUUGCGCCCGCCAGUAUUCUGGCGGGCAUGCCUGUUCGAGCGUCAUUUCAACCCUCAGGCCCCCAGUGCCUGGCGUUGGGGAUCGGCGUGGGCAGCGACGGCUCUCCGGAGCCCGAACCAAUGCCUGCCGGCCCCGAAAUUCAGUGGCGGUCUCGCUGUAGUCCCCCUCUGCGUAGUAGCACAACUCGCAUUGGAGCUCGGCGGUGGCCAUGCCGUAAAACACCCCACUUCUGAAAGUUGACCUCGGAUCAGGUAGGAAUACCCGCUGAACUUAAGCAUAUCAAUAAGCGGAGGA
RNAcentral lists this unclassified non-coding RNA (370 nucleotides) under soil metagenome. RNAcentral's name for it is "partial contains 5.8S ribosomal RNA, internal transcribed spacer 2, and large subunit ribosomal RNA". The stretch from base 1 to 120 matches the Rfam family "5.8S ribosomal RNA", at positions 35 to 154 of the family's 154-position model. The record is from RNAcentral.